This 407-nucleotide ribosomal RNA is filed under the name uncultured bacterium. Its description in RNAcentral is "partial 16S ribosomal RNA". It matches the Rfam family "Bacterial small subunit ribosomal RNA", at positions 30 to 526 of the family's 1533-position model. The record is from RNAcentral.
AUUGAACGCUGGCGGCAGGCCUAACACAUGCAAGUCGAGCGGAGCGGCGGACGGGUGAGUAAUGCCUAGGAAUCUGCCUGGUAGUGGGGGACAACGUCCGGAAACGGGCGCUAAUACCGCAUACUAUCAGAUGAGCCUAGUUCGGAUUAUCUAGUUGGUGGGGUAAAGGCAUACCAAGUCGACGAUCCGUAACUGGGCUGAGAGAAUGAUCAGUCACACUGGAACUGAGACACGGUCCAGACGCCUACGGGAGACAGCAGGGAGGAAUAUUGGACAAUGGGCGAAAGCUUUAUCCAGCCAUGCCGCGUGUGUGAAGAAGGUCUUCGGAUUGUAAAGCACUUUAAGUUGGGAGGCGUUACCAACAGAAUAAGCACCGGCGAACUGCGUGCCAGCAGCCGCGGUAAUAC